AGGACGAACGCUGGCGGCGCGCUUAAUACAUGCAAGUCGAGCGAGAACCAGGGCUUCGGCUCUGGGGACAGCGGCGAACGGGUGAGUAACACGUGGGUAAUCAACCCCCGACACCGGGAUAGCCCAGGGAAACUUGGAUUAAUACCGGAUGCUCCGUCUGGCUUUAGGGCCGGCCGGAAAAGGGUAGCUUCGGCCUCCGGUCGGGGACGAGCCCGCGGCGGAUUAGCUUGUUGGUGAGGUAAAGGCUCACCAAGGCGACAAUCCGUAGCUGGUCUGAGAGGACGAUCAGCCACACUGGGACUGAGACACGGCCCAGACUCCUACGGGAGGCAGCAGUGGGGGAAUAUUGGACAAUGGGCGAAAGCCUGAUCCAGCAAUGCCGCGUGGGUGAAGAAGGUCUUCGGAUUGUAAAGCCCUUUCGACGGGGACGAUGAUGACGGUACCCGUAGAAGAAGCCCGGCUAACUUCGCGCCAGCAGCCGC
Molecule: ribosomal RNA, 482 nt
Filed under: uncultured bacterium
Lineage: Bacteria
Description: SSU rRNA
Rfam family: Bacterial small subunit ribosomal RNA
Source: RNAcentral